This is an RNA transcript of Panicum virgatum (switchgrass), 2020 nucleotides long. It is a transcript of the gene named F-box/FBD/LRR-repeat protein At1g13570-like, with no coding region annotated. The transcript is spliced from 4 exons. The record is from RefSeq and is a predicted model, not a curated record. NCBI's taxonomy places the organism in Eukaryota, Viridiplantae, Streptophyta, Magnoliopsida, Poales, Poaceae.
CUCCGCGUCGUCACCCCAGGCCGCUGCGCGCCACCCGCCCCCGGACACCCCGCUGCCGUCGGCCACCUGCACUACCCCGACCGCCCUGGCCCCAACGCCGCCGCUCCUAACCUCCGCCGUCCAGUGGAAGUCGGUUCAACAUUUACAAUGUGCUUCUUCAACGUCUUCAAUGGACUGAGUCAACACUCUGGUUACACUAUUUCAACAUUUUGUAUCAAAAAUGUUGAAUGCAUUUUUUGAAAUGUUGAACCAAUUUGUAUGGAAUGUUGAAUCUAAUUGGACUAUAAUGGGCUUAGAUAUGAUGCUUAACUGCCGUCCGGAAGUUAUAUAGGAAGCCCCCGCCCCACCACGUCCCUCCGGCCUCCGCCCGUGGCGACGGUGGUCCGCCGCCGCCUCCUCGAGGUCAAAUGGAGGCCUCGCCCCCUCGCCGCAAACAACGGCUAUCGUCGCCAGAUCCGGCAGCGGAGGCGGCCGCGCCGAGCCUCGACUCGCUCCCGCCGGAAAUCCUCGAGAAAAUCAUCUCCUGCCUCCACGUCCGCGACGCCGUGCGCACCUGCUCGCUCUCCCGCGCCUGGCGCCGCCGCUGGGAGUCAACCCCCGGCAUCCGCUUCUUCUGGGACUCCUCCGCCGCCGCCGCGCCCCCGGCCGCCAUCGACGCCGUCCUCGCGCGGUACGCGUGCCCCGUCCGCGACUUCUGCUACUGGGAGAUCCCCGAGGAGGCCUUCGCCCGCACGGACGAAUGGAUCCCCGCCCUCGCCGGGAAGGGGGUCCAAUCCCUCACUCUUCGUUUCAGGGAGUACCUCCGUGUGGAUAUCCACACGCUUCACCUCGCCGUCUUCUCCUGCCGCGAGCUCACUCACCUCACGCUCCACGGCUGCUUCGUCCCAACCGCGCCCCCCUCUUUCGCAGGGUUUCCGAAAUUGACCUGGUUAAGUCUCACCAUGGUCGGCUUUCAUGAACAUGGGGAGAGAGAUUUGGAGGCGAUGAUCCACAUGUCUCCGUUGCUUGAGACGCUGGAGCUUAAGGAUAUUCAGAUUCUUGGUGACGAGUUUGAUGAAUGGGUCAUUCAAGCCCCGAAUCUCCGCCACUUAAGUUUUGAGGCAGAUGAAGAUUAUGGGCUACAGAUCGGAGAGCUUCCAUCUCUCGAUAAAGCAUAUGUUACUAUUCAAGAGUACUCCUCCGUUGAUCGGGAUUUCGUCAAGUUUCUCACACGUCUCGCUCAAGUCAGGGUGCUCGAGUUCCGGAUACCAGUAAAAUGUUGGCAGAUAUUGAUGUUCUCGAGAGACUAUCAUGUAUUCAUGUUCUUUCCAGAUGUUAAAGAGGCUGGUACUCCAUGUGGACUUUUGCAAUGUGUCUAGCAUUUUAUCUAUGUUUUCUUUACUAAAGAGUGCUCCCAACCUCCAACAACUGGAAACUAUGAUUGUGGACAGUCAACUGAAUGAUGAAGUUGAUCUAGAAUUUUUCAGUGCACAAUGCACCAACAGUCUCUUCCCAAAGCUCAAGACUGUUACCGUCACAGAUACCCCACUAUGGUCAAAUGAGAUGUAUUUUAUUGAGUUCAUUCUGUCCAAAGCAAGGCUACUUUGUGCCCUUUUUGUUUAUAAGGAUGAUGAUAGUGACUACUCAAAUCCCAGUGAAGAGGCGGUUAUCCAGCUAGCAAAAUUUAGAAGGGCGUCUCCAAAAGCUAGGGUCUUCUUCAGAACGAUGGAUGAAUAUUGGAGGCAUGAAAUAGUACUGAGUAAAAUGGUUGACCUAUUGUGAUGUCAGAUCAGCGGAGACGAUUGAAGGUGCAAACUGCAUGAUCUUGCUAGAGGAUCAAACGGCACCAAAAUAAUUGUUUUAGUACCUAGCACUGAUGUGAGGCAUCAAAUUGUAAUGUGUUGCACCUGAGUAUUGUACUGCCAUUGGACUUCUGACGAGAUGGCACGGUUUUUUUGUUUUUGUUUGGGUGACUUGUUUGGCUCCAACUUUUUACCUGUAUGCAACCAUAUCAACUUGUUUGGCAUCACUUCUCUUCUCA